RNAcentral lists this ribosomal RNA (253 nucleotides) under uncultured bacterium. Its description in RNAcentral is "partial 16S ribosomal RNA". It matches the Rfam family "Bacterial small subunit ribosomal RNA", at positions 524 to 776 of the family's 1533-position model. The record is from RNAcentral.
UACAGAGGGUGCAAGCGUUGUUCGGAAUUAUUGGGCGUAAAGCGCGUGUAGGCGGCUUGGCAAGUCGGGUGUGAAAUCCCUCAGCUCAACUGAGGAAGUGCGCCCGAAACUGCUUGGCUUGAGUACCGGAGAGGAUGGUGGAAUUCCCGAAGUAGAGGUGAAAUUCGUAGAUAUCGGGAGGAACACCAGUGGCGAAGGCGGUUGCCUGGAGCUUUGCUGACGCUGAUGCGCGAAAGCGUGGGGAGCGAUCCGG